GUGGGUGGCAAGCGUUGUCCGGAAUUAUUGGGCGUAAAGCGCGCGCAGGCGGUUCUUUAAGUCUGAUGUGAAAGCCCACGGCUCAACCGUGGAGGGUCAUUGGAAACUGGAGAACUUGAGUACAGAAGAGGAAAGCGGAAUUCCACGUGUAGCGGUGAAAUGCGUAGAGAUGUGGAGGAACACCAGUGGCGAAGGCGGCUUUCUGGUCUGUAACUGACGCUGAGGCGCGAAAGCGUGGGGGAGCAAACAGGAUUAGAUACCCUGGUAGUCCACGCCGUAAACGAUGAGUGCUAAGUGUUAGGGGGUUUCCGCCCCUUAGUGCUGCAGCUAACGCAUUAAGCACUCCGCCUGGGAGUACGGCCGCAAGGCUG
RNAcentral lists this ribosomal RNA (371 nucleotides) under uncultured organism. RNAcentral's name for it is "partial 16S ribosomal RNA". It matches the Rfam family "Bacterial small subunit ribosomal RNA", at positions 527 to 896 of the family's 1533-position model. The record is from RNAcentral.